AUUGAACGCUGGCGGCAGGCCUAACACAUGCAAGUCGAACGGUAGCACAGAGAGCUUGCUCUCGGGUGACGAGUGGCGGACGGGUGAGUAAUGUCUGGGAAACUGCCCGAUGGUGGGGGAUAACUACUGGAAACGGUAGCUAAUACCGCAUAAUGUCGCAAGACCAAAGAGGGGGACCUUCGGGCCUCUUGCCAUCGGAUGUGCCCAGAUGGGAUUAGCUAGUUGGUGAGGUAAUGGCUCACCAAGGCGACGAUCCCUAGCUGGACUGAGAGGAUGACCAGCCACCCUGGAACUGGGACACGGUCCAGAGUACUACGGGAGGCAGCAGUGGGGAAUAUUGCACAAUGGGCGCAAGCCUGAUGCAGCCAUGCCGCGUGUAUGAAGAAGGCCUUCGGGUUGUAAAGUACUUUCAGCGGGGAGGAAGGCGAUACGGUUAAUAACCGUAUUGAUUGACGUUACCCGCAGAAGAAGCACCGGCUAACUCCGUG
Molecule: ribosomal RNA, 488 nt
Filed under: uncultured bacterium
Lineage: Bacteria
Description: partial 16S ribosomal RNA
Rfam family: Bacterial small subunit ribosomal RNA
Source: RNAcentral